GCGCUGCCCCGGCGAGGGCCCGACUUGUGGUGCGGGCAGGAGCGGCCCGAGCGCGGCCCCGCUCUGCUCGUGUCCGCCUCCCGCCGGGCGCGGCAGGGCCCGAUGGCGGCCGGGCUGGGGCCGCGGCUGCUGGCCUUGGCCUUGGCCUUGGGGCCGGCCGGCGUGUGUGCCGAAUUGAGUCUGGUGGAGUCUGGUGGAGGUCUGCGAGCACCUGGAGAUUCCGUGCAUCUCUCCUGCCAGGGAUCCGGAUUCAGAUUUGCAGAUUAUUCUGUCUUGUGGUACCGUCAGGCACCCGGUGGAAGUCUCGAGUGGGUGUCCUACAUCCACUAUGAUGGUAGCACAAUACAGUACGGCAAAGCGGUGGAGGGCCGAGCCACAGCUUCCCGGGACAAUUCCCAGUCCAAGUCUUCUCUGUCCCUGCGUGCCCUGGUACCCCAGGACUCUGCCCACUACUUCUGUGCUGUUCGCACAGGGACAGGAAAUCCAGCUGAGCUCUAACACAAACCUACUCCCAGGGCCCCUUGCCUUCUCUAGGUGUGCCACUCCCACAGAGAGCAGGGAGGAGCAGCAGAACUGUAUGGAGCUGCUGAAGAGGGCAGAGAAUUGCCUUCAGCUCAGCCCUUUCCCACAUUGCCUGUAGGGGCCCAUGGGAUCAACAGCAGUGUCAGGGGCAAAUGGCCAGU
Molecule: non-coding RNA, 683 nt
Organism: Cygnus olor (mute swan)
Lineage: Eukaryota; Metazoa; Chordata; Aves; Anseriformes; Anatidae
Source: the annotation of a RefSeq genome assembly